CGAGCUUUGGUCUGUUUAGGCCCUUUUCUCACGCUUGUACCAAUCCCACAGAGGAGAAAGGAACACAGUAAUGAUAUUGACAAUAAGAUACAAAGGACAUGACACAGAUUUGCUUUUUAAAGGGACCUGCUUGGUAGCACACUGGAGCCCUCCAUAUCAUUAACGGUGGUGUUGCAGGCUGCAGAGUAGAAGGGCUGAAGGCAGGUUGGGAAAAGCUAAAGGUAGGUUGGAAAAAGUGGGAAGCGGAUGGUGAAAAGGGCCGCCUUUGGAUUCUCGCAUCACAUUGUAUAGCUUGAUGUGCUUGCAUAGAAAGUUGAGCUUCCUAAGACAGAAGCCAUCAAUCAUGAGGGUUCUUUGAUUUCACAGUUGAGAGAAUAAGAUCAAACAGAUGAGAGAAUUUGUGCAAAACACCAGACUUGAUUACCAGUGCCAUUGCUGGCCAGUUUUCAUUUUCA
Molecule: long non-coding RNA, 455 nt
Filed under: Bos taurus (domestic cattle)
Lineage: Eukaryota; Metazoa; Chordata; Mammalia; Artiodactyla; Bovidae
Description: long non-coding RNA NONBTAT024969
Source: RNAcentral